Molecule: ribosomal RNA, 460 nt
Filed under: uncultured Glaciecola sp.
Lineage: Bacteria; Pseudomonadati; Pseudomonadota; Gammaproteobacteria; Alteromonadales; Alteromonadaceae
Description: bacterial SSU rRNA
Rfam family: Bacterial small subunit ribosomal RNA
Source: RNAcentral
AGAAGCACCGGCUAACUCCGUGCCAGCAGCCGCGGUAAUACGGAGGGUGCGAGCGUUAAUCUUAAUUACUGGGCGUAAAGCGCACGCUGGCGGUCUGUUAAGCUAGAUGUGAAAGCCCCGCGCUCAACGUGGGAGGGUCAUUUAGAACUGGCAGACUAGAGUCUUGGAGAGGGGAGUGGAAUUCCAGGUGUAGCGGUGAAAUGCGUAGAGAUCUGGAGGAACAUCAAUGGCGAAGGCAACUCCCUGGCCAAAGACUGACGCUCAUGUGCGAAAGUGUGGGUAGCGAACAGGAUUAGAUACCCUGGUAGUCCACACCGUAAACGCUGUCUACUAGCUGUUUGUGAAUUUAAUUCGUGAGUAGCGAAGCUAACGCGAUAAGUAGACCGCCUGGGGAGUACGGCCGCUAGGUAAAACUCAAAUGAAUUGACGGGGGCCCGCACAAGCGGUGGAGCAUGUGGUU